RNAcentral lists this transfer RNA (72 nucleotides) under Ornithorhynchus anatinus (platypus). It matches the Rfam family "tRNA". From Rfam's summary of the family: Transfer RNA (tRNA) molecules are approximately 80 nucleotides in length. Their secondary structure includes four short double-helical elements and three loops (D, anti-codon, and T loops). Lineage: Eukaryota; Metazoa; Chordata; Mammalia; Monotremata; Ornithorhynchidae. The record is from Rfam by way of RNAcentral.
AGCAGUGUGGCUCAGUGGAAAGAGCCUGGGCUUUGGAGUCAGAGGUCAUGGGUUCGACUCCCGGCUCUGCCA